GACGAACGCUGGCGGCGUGCUUAACACAUGCAAGUCGAACGAAGAGCGACGGAAGCUUGCUUCUAUCAAUCUUAGUGGCGAACGGGUGAGUAACGCGUAAUCAACCUGCCCUUCAGAGGGGGACAACAGUUGGAAACGACUGCUAAUACCGCAUACGAUCUAACCUCGGCAUCGAGGAUAGAUGAAAGGUGGCCUCUACAUGUAAGCUAUCACUUAAGGAGGGGAUUGCGUCUGAUUAGCUAGUUGGAGGGGUAACGGCCCACCAAGGCGAUGAUCAGUAGCCGGUCUGAGAGGAUGAACGGCCACAUUGGGACUGAGACACGGCCCAGACUCCUACGGGAGGCAGCAGUGGGGAAUCUUCCGCAAUGGACGAAAGUCUGACGGAGCAACGCCGCGUGAGGGAUGACGGACGUCGGGUUGUAAAGCUCUGUUAAUCGGGACGAAAGGCCUUCUUGCGAAUAGUGAGAAGGAUUGACGGUACCGGAAUAGAAAGCCACGGCUAACUACGUG
Molecule: ribosomal RNA, 510 nt
Filed under: uncultured bacterium
Lineage: Bacteria
Description: partial 16S ribosomal RNA
Rfam family: Bacterial small subunit ribosomal RNA
Source: RNAcentral